GGAUUAGAUACCCUGGUAGUCCACGCUGUAAACGAUGUGUGCUAGUUGUCGGGGUCUUUAGGCUUCGGUGACGCAGAGAAAUCAUUAAGCACACCGCCUGGGGAGUACGGUCGCAAGAUUAAAACUCAAAGGAAUUGACGGGGACCCGCACAAGCGGUGGAGCAUGUUCUUUAAUUCGAAGCAACGCGAAGAACCUUACCAACCCUUGACAUCCCGAUCGGGAAUUAGAGAGAUCUUUUUCUUCAGUUAGGCUGGAUCGGUGACAGGUGCUGCAUGGCUGUCGUCAGCUCGUGCCG
RNAcentral lists this ribosomal RNA (296 nucleotides) under uncultured bacterium. RNAcentral's name for it is "partial 16S ribosomal RNA". It matches the Rfam family "Bacterial small subunit ribosomal RNA", at positions 775 to 1067 of the family's 1533-position model. The record is from RNAcentral.